CCGCUGAACUUAAGCAUAUCAAUAAGCGGAGGAAAAGAAACCAACAGGGAUUGCCCUAGUAACGGCGAGUGAAGCGGCAACAGCUCAAAUUUGAAAUCUGGCCCUCGGGUCCGAAUUGUAAUUUGUAGAGGAUGUUUUUGGUGCGGUAUCUUCCGAGUUCCUUGGAACAGGACGCCUUAGAGGGUGAGAGCCCCGUACGGUUGAAUGCCUAGCCUUUGUAAAACUCAUUCGACGAGUCGAGUAGUUUGGGAAUGCUGCUCUAAAUGGGAGGUAAAUUUCUUCUAAAGCUAAAUACUGGCCAGAGACCGAUAGCGCACAAGUAGAGUGAUCGAAAGAUGAAAAGCACUUUGAAAAGAGGGUUAAAUAGCACGUGAAAUUGUUGAAAGGGAAGGAUUUAUGACCAGACUUUUUCUAGGCGAAUCAUCCGGUGUUCUCACCGGUGCACUUCGUUUAGUUUAGGCCAGCAUCGAUUUUCGGGGUGGGAUAAAAGCUUUAGGAAUGUGGCUCCCUCGGGAGUGUUAUAGCCUAUUGUAUAAUACCGCCCUGGGGAUCGAGGUACGCGCUUCUGCAAGGAUGCUGGCGUAAUGGUUAUCAAUCACCCGUCUUGAAACACGGACCAAGGAGUCGAACAUUUGUGCAAGUGUUUGGGUGUUAAACCCUCACGCGUAAUGAAAGUGAACGGAGGUGAGAGCCCUUACGGGUGCAUCAUCGACCGAUCCUGAUGUCUUCGGAUGGAUUUGAGUAAGAGCAUAACUGUUCGGACCCGAAAGAUGGUGAACUAUGCGUGGAUAGGGUGAAGCCAGAGGAAACUCUGGUGGAGGCUCGCAGCGGUUCUGACGUGCAAAUCGAUCGUCAAAUCUGCGCAUGGGGGCGAAAGACUAAUCGAACC
This 889-nucleotide ribosomal RNA is filed under the name Seimatosporium obtusum. Its description in RNAcentral is "eukaryotic LSU rRNA". It matches the Rfam family "Eukaryotic large subunit ribosomal RNA", at positions 25 to 941 of the family's 3401-position model. The record is from RNAcentral. Lineage: Eukaryota; Fungi; Ascomycota; Sordariomycetes; Amphisphaeriales; Sporocadaceae.